Molecule: ribosomal RNA, 345 nt
Filed under: Colophon neli
Lineage: Eukaryota; Metazoa; Arthropoda; Insecta; Coleoptera; Lucanidae
Description: partial 16S ribosomal RNA
Source: RNAcentral
ACGGCCGCGGUAUUUUGACCGUGCAAAGGUAGCAUAAUCAUUAAUUUUUUAAUUGAAAGCUGGAAUGAAUGGUUGGACAAGAAAAUUUCUGUCUCUAUCUAAUUUUUAGAAUUUUAUUUUUUAGUUAAGAAGCUUAAAUGUUUUUAAGGGACGAGAAGACCCAAUAGAAUUUUACAUAUUUGUUUGUUUUCAAUUUUUAGUGUUAUCAUUAGAAAAUAAGCUAAAUUUGUUUAGUUGGGGUGAUUGAAAAAUUUAGAAAACUCUUUUUUGAUUUAGGUCAUCGAUUUAUGAAUAAUUGAUCCGUUAGUUGUGAUUAUAAGAUUAAAUUACCUUAGGGAUAACAGC